RNAcentral lists this ribosomal RNA (427 nucleotides) under uncultured bacterium. Its description in RNAcentral is "partial 16S ribosomal RNA". It matches the Rfam family "Bacterial small subunit ribosomal RNA", at positions 355 to 774 of the family's 1533-position model. The record is from RNAcentral. RNAcentral also lists the same sequence under 2 other names.
UAGGGAAUCUUCCGCAAUGGACGAAAGUCUGACGGAGCAACGCCGCGUGAGCGAAGAAGGUCUUCGGAUCGUAAAGCUCUGUUGUUAGGGAAGAACAAGUACCGGAGUAACUGACGGUACCUUGACGGUACCUAACCAGAAAGCCACGGCUAACUACGUGCCAGCAGCCGCGGUAAUACGUAGGUGGCAAGCGUUGUCCGGAAUCAUUGGGCGUAAAGCGCGCGCAGGCGGUCCUUUAAGUCUGAUGUGAAAUCUUGCGGCUCAACCGUAAGCGGUCAUUGGAAACUGGGGGACUUGAGUGCAGGAGAGGAAAGCGGAAUUCCAUGUGUAGCGGUGAAAUGCGUAGAGAUAUGGAGGAACACCAGUGGCGAAGGCGGCUUUCUGGCCUGUAACUGACGCUGAGGCGCGAAAGCGUGGGGAGCAAACA